RNAcentral lists this long non-coding RNA (236 nucleotides) under Crocodylus porosus (Australian saltwater crocodile). Its description in RNAcentral is "lncRNA (ENSCPRG00005011688.1)". Lineage: Eukaryota; Metazoa; Chordata; Crocodylia; Crocodylidae. The record is from RNAcentral.
CAAAAGUACAGGCCCUUUGUGUGCAGAAGUAUCAGUUCUAACGAACAACUUAGGAAGAUGCUAGACUGCCACAGGUCUCCACCGGCUUGUACGUUGUGAUCUGCCUGGUGAACAAACAGCAAGCAUUUUAAGCUGCAAUUCAAUGAGGCCACGUAAAAACAAAAAAGUUCUCAUAGCUGUAUAUGUGAAGUACAAGGGCCUAUAACCUGAAUCAUAAAAGAGUGCCACAGACUGCU